Molecule: ribosomal RNA, 1964 nt
Filed under: human gut metagenome
Description: bacterial LSU rRNA
Rfam family: Bacterial large subunit ribosomal RNA
Source: RNAcentral
GCCUUGGCUCACGGAGGCGAUGAAGGACGUGAUAAGCUGCGAUAAGCCUCGGGUAGAUGCAAAUGAUCUCUGAUCCGAGGAUUUCCGAAUGGGACAACCCGUCUGUCUGAAGGACAGUCACUACGCAAUAGCGUAGAGCUAACGCAGGGAACUGAAACAUCUUAGUACCUGCAGGAAGAGAAAAUAAGUUAAUGAUUCCCCUAGUAGUGGCGAGCGAACGGGGAAGAGCCCAAACCAUGAUUGUGGCAACGCAACCAUGGGGUUGUAGGACCACGCUGUGGCACGAUGCUUGUGAGAGGAACGUUCUGGAAAGAACGACCAUAGAGGGUGAGAGUCCCGUACUCGAAGCACGCUGAAGCCUAGUGGUAUCCUGAGUAACGCGGAACACGAGGAAUUCUGCGCGAAUCCGCCGGGACCAUCCGGUAAGGCUAAAUACUCCCGUGAGACCGAUAGCGAACCAGUACCGUGAGGGAAAGGUGAAAAGAACCCCGGGAGGGGAGUGAAAGAGAACCUGAAACCGCAUGCCCACAAGAAGUCAGAGCCCGUCAAAGGGUGAUGGCGUGCCUUUUGUAGAAUGAGCCGGCGAGUCACGAUCAGCAGGCGAGGUUAAGCAGGAGAUGCGGAGCCGCAGCGAAAGCGAGUCUUAAGAGGGCGAAAUAGUCUGAGGUCGUGGACCCGAAACCGGGUGAUCUAUCCAUGUCCAGGUUGAAGCUGCCGUAAGAGGUAGUGGAGGACCGAACCCACAUCCGUUGAAAAGGGUGGGGAUGAGGUGUGGAUAGGGGAGAAAUUCCAAUCGAACCCGGAGAUAGCUGGUUCUCCUCGAAAUAGCUUUAGGGCUAGCCUCGUUUUAGUCUUAUGGAGGUAGAGCACUGAAUUUCCGCGGGGGCGUCAAAGCUUACCAAAGAAUAUCAAACUCCGAAUGCCAUGUAGAUGAUGAACGGGAGUCAGACUGCACGAGAUAAGUUGGGCGGUCAAAAGGGAAAGAGCCCAGACCACCGGCUAAGGUCCCAAAGUGUGUGUUAAGUGGAAAAGGAUGUGGGAAUUCGAAGACAACUAGGAUGUUGGCUCAGAAGCAGCCAUACAUUCAAAGAGUGCGUAACAGCUCACUAGUCGAGAGUCCCUGCGCCGAAAAUGUCCGGGGCUGAAACACAACACCGAAGCCGUGGACUCCGUAAGGAGUGGUAGAGGAGCAUUCUUAAGACCGACGAAGCUGUACCGGUAAGGAGCAGUGGAGGGAUAAGAAGAGAGAAUGCCGGAAUGAGUAGCGAGAGCAAGGUGGGAAUCCUUGCGGCCGAAUAUCCAAGGUUUCCAGAGUAAAGCUGAUCUGCUCUGGGUAAGUCGGGGCCUAAGGAGAGGUCGCAAGACGUAUCCGAUGGACAACAGGUUUAGAUUCCUGUACCGCAUAUAAACAGAACUGUGGGGACGCAUGUGGAAAGCACGAGCCGGGAAUGGAAAGACCGGUACAAGCGAGGUAGGAGUGUGACAGGCAAAUCCGUCACAUAAGCCGAAGACGUGAUGUGGAGCGAAAUUUAGUAGUGAAGUAUGUGAGCCAUGUGCCGAGAAAAGCCGCUAUUGUUUUAUAUGUGCCCGUACCGUAAACCGACACAGGUGGAUGAGGAGAGAAUCCUAAGGCCGGCGGGAGAAGCAUUGUUAAGGAACUCGGCAAAAUGACCCCGUAACUUCGGGAGAAGGGGUGCCCACGAGAGUGGGCCGCAGAGAAUAGGCUCAAGCAACUGUUUAGCAAAAACACAGGUCUAUGCGAAACCGAAAGGUGAAGUAUAUGGGCUGACGCCUGCCCGGUGCUGGAAGGUUAAGAGGAGAGGUUAGAGCAAUCGAAGCUUUGAAUUUAAGCCCCAGUAAACGGCGGCCGUAACUAUAACGGUCCUAAGGUAGCGAAAUUCCUUGUCGGGCAAGUUCCGACCCGCACGAAAGGCGUAACGAUUUGGGCGCUGUCUCAGCUGUAG